Molecule: ribosomal RNA, 1459 nt
Filed under: uncultured organism
Description: 16S ribosomal RNA
Rfam family: Bacterial small subunit ribosomal RNA
Source: RNAcentral
UGAACGCUGGCGGCAGGCCUAACACAUGCAAGUCGAACGGUAGCACAGAGAGCUUGCUCUCGGGUGACGAGUGGCGGACGGGUGAGUAAUGUCUGGGAAACUGCCUGAUGGAGGGGGAUAACUACUGGAAACGGUAGCUAAUACCGCAUAACGUCGCAAGACCAAAGAGGGGGACCUUCGGGCCUCUUGCCAUCAGAUGUGCCCAGAUGGGAUUAGCUAGUAGGUGGGGUAACGGCUCACCUAGGCGACGAUCCCUAGCUGGUCUGAGAGGAUGACCAGCCACACUGGAACUGAGACACGGUCCAGACUCCUACGGGAGGCAGCAGUGGGGAAUAUUGCACAAUGGGCGCAAGCCUGAUGCAGCCAUGCCGCGUGUAUGAAGAAGGCCUUCGGGUUGUAAAGUACUUUCAGCGGGGAGGAAGGUGUUGUGGUUAAUAACCACAGCAAUUGACGUUACCCGCAGAAGAAGCACCGGCUAACUCCGUGCCAGCAGCCGCGGUAAUACCGAGGGUGCAAGCGUUAAUCGGAAUUACUGGGCGUAAAGCGCACGCAGGCGGUCUGACGGGUCGGAUGGGAAAUUCCCCGGGGCUCAACCUGGGAUCUGCAUGUCAAGACUGGCAAGGCUACAGAUCUUGUAGAGGGGGGUAGAAUUGCAGGUGUAGCGGUGAAAUGCGUAGAGAUCUGGAGGAAUACCGGUGGCGAAGGCGGCCCCCUGGACAAAGACUGACGCUCAGGUGCGAAAGCGUGGGGAGCAAACAGGAUUAGAUACCCUGGUAGUCCACGCCGUAAACGAUGUCGACUUGGAGGUUGUGCCCUUGAGGCGUGGCUUCCGGAGCUAACGCGUUAAGUCGACCGCCUGGGGAGUACGGCCGCAAGGUUAAAACUCAAAUGAAUUGACGGGGGCCCGCACAAGCGGUGGAGCAUGUGGUUUAAUUCGAUGCAACGCGAAGAACCUUACCUACUCUUGACAUCCAGAGAACUUAGCAGAGAUGCUUUGGUGCCUUCGGGAACUCUGAGACAGGUGCUGCAUGGCUGUCGUCAGCUCGUGUUGUGAAAUGUUGGGUUAAGUCCCGCAACGAGCGCAACCCUUAUCCUUUGUUGCCAGCGGUCCGGCCGGGAACUCAAAGGAGACUGCCAGUGAUAAACUGGAGGAAGGUGGGGAUGACGUCAAGUCAUCAUGGCCCUUACGAGUAGGGCUACACACGUGCUACAAUGGCGCAUACAAAGAGAAGCGAACUCGCGAGAGCAAGCGGACCUCAUAAAGUGCGUCGUAGUCCGGAUUGGAGUCUGCAACUCGACUCCAUGAAGUCGGAAUCGCUAGUAAUCGUAGAUCAGAAUGCUACGGUGAAUACGUUCCCGGGCCUUGUACACACCGCCCGUCACACCAUGGGAGUGGGUUGCAAAAGAAGUAGGUAGCUUAACCUUCGGGAGGGCGCUUACCACUUUGUGAUUCAUGACU